RNAcentral lists this ribosomal RNA (404 nucleotides) under Fusobacteriota bacterium. RNAcentral describes it as "Fusobacteria bacterium partial 16S ribosomal RNA". It matches the Rfam family "Bacterial small subunit ribosomal RNA", at positions 355 to 776 of the family's 1533-position model. The record is from RNAcentral. Lineage: Bacteria; Fusobacteriati; Fusobacteriota.
UGGGGAAUAUUGCACAAUGGAGGGAACUCUGAUGCAGCGACGCCGCGUGAGUGAUGAAGGAAUUCGUUUCGUAAAAUUCUGCUCUAUGGGAAGAAAAGGACUGUACCAUAGGAGAAAGCUCCGGCUAAAUACGUGCCAGCAGCCGCGGUAAUACGUAUGGAGCGAGCGUUGUCCGGAAUUAUUGGGCGUAAAGGGUGCGCAGGCGGCUUUACAAGUUGGAUGUGAAAUAUUGUGGCUCAACCACAAACGUGCAUCCAAAACUGCAAAGCUUGAGUUAAGGAGAGGUAAGUGGAAUUCCUGGUGUAGCGGUGGAAUGCGUAGAUAUCAGGAGGAAUACCGGUGGCGAAGGCGACUUACUGGACUUAAACUGACGCUCAGGCACGAAAGCGUGGGGAGCAAACAGG